RNAcentral lists this transfer RNA (74 nucleotides) under Amblycirrhitus pinos (redspotted hawkfish). RNAcentral's name for it is "tRNA-Lys". It matches the Rfam family "tRNA". From Rfam's summary of the family: Transfer RNA (tRNA) molecules are approximately 80 nucleotides in length. Their secondary structure includes four short double-helical elements and three loops (D, anti-codon, and T loops). Lineage: Eukaryota; Metazoa; Chordata; Actinopteri; Centrarchiformes; Cirrhitidae. RNAcentral also lists the same sequence under 1 other name. The record is from RNAcentral.
CGUUAAGAAGCUGAAUAGGAUACAGCGUUAGCCUUUUAAGCUAAAAACUGGUGCCCUCCGACCACCCUUAGCGA